CAUAUUCUUGAGGUAUUAUUCCCUUUGACUUUUCUUGAAGUUUUUAUAAUUCUAUAUAAUGUUUUUUAGGGUUUUGGUUCUUAAAUGAAUAAAGAAAACAAAUUUCCUGGGCGGGAAAGAAGCAGACAUACUUGCUGGUAAGAUGAGUAUGGUACAGUUGCAAGGGCGGGACCAGUUGCUGACAGCACAAAAUGAAAUGCUCAAGGCGUUGAUUGCUAGUUCGGUUUCAAAAGGGAAUUAUAGAUCUGUGAAGGAUAUCACAUACUUCGUGUUGACUAUUGGUUUUGUGAUGGGUGUUACUUUGGCUGCAAUAUUGGGAGUUUCAUUUGGUUCCAUAGUCA
Molecule: long non-coding RNA, 341 nt
Organism: Lactuca sativa (garden lettuce)
Lineage: Eukaryota; Viridiplantae; Streptophyta; Magnoliopsida; Asterales; Asteraceae
Source: RefSeq, a predicted model, not a curated record